UCCCGUUUGGAUUGGCUUAUUUUGAGCUUAUGUGGAUUUAUCUACUUCCAUAAGCCUUUUUAAAGGUGUUUGGGUAAAUAAAUAAAAAUAGUUUAUCAUAGUUUCAUAAGCUGCUUAUGCCAUAUUUUAAUAAGCUUAAAUUUUCAGCUUACCCUCCGGCUUAACAAGGAGCUUAUGAAUUUAUGUAACCUCCUUCGAUUCU
RNAcentral lists this long non-coding RNA (202 nucleotides) under Medicago truncatula (barrel medic). RNAcentral's name for it is "long non-coding RNA (MTRU_LNC000865)". The record is from RNAcentral. Lineage: Eukaryota; Viridiplantae; Streptophyta; Magnoliopsida; Fabales; Fabaceae.